AGAGUUUGAUCAUGGCUCAGGACGAACGCUGGCGGCGUGCCUAACACAUGCAAGUCGAGCGGAGAUAGCCUUCGGGUUAUUUUAGCGGCGGACGGGUGAGUAACGCGUGAGCAAUCUGUCCUUCACAGGGGGAUAACACAUCGAAAGAUGUGCUAAUACCGCAUGAGACCACAACAUCACAUGAUGAAGGGGUCAAAGGAGAAAUCCGGUGAAGGGUGAGCUCGCGUCCCAUUAGGUAGUUGGUGAGGUAACGGCCCACCAAGCCGACGAUGGGUAGCCGACCUGAGAGGGUGAUCGGCCACACUGGGACUGAGACACGGCCCAGACUCCUACGGGAGGCAGCAGUGGGGAAUAUUGGGCAAUGGGGGAAACCCUGACCCAGCAACGCCGCGUGAGGGAAGAAGGUUUUCGGAUCGUAAACCUCUGUCCUCAGGGAAGAAGACAAUGACGGUACCUGAGGAGGAAGCCCCGGCUAACUACGUGCCAGCAGCCGCGGUAAUACGUAGGGGGCAAGCGUUGUCCGGAAUAACUGGGCGUAAAGGGCGCGUAGGCGGCUUUUUAAGUCUGGAGUGAAAGUCCUGCUUUCAAGGUGGGAAUUGCUUUGGAAACUGGAGAGCUUGAGUGCAGAAGAGGUAAGUGGAAUUCCCAGUGUAGCGGUGAAAUGCGUAGAGAUUGGGAGGAACACCAGUGGCGAAGGCGACUUACUGGGCUGUAACUGACGCUGAGGCGCGAAAGCGUGGGUAGCAAACAGGAUUAGAUACCCUGGUAGUCCACGCGGUAAACGAUGAAUGCUAGGUGUA
RNAcentral lists this ribosomal RNA (800 nucleotides) under uncultured bacterium. RNAcentral's name for it is "bacterial SSU rRNA". It matches the Rfam family "Bacterial small subunit ribosomal RNA", at positions 8 to 824 of the family's 1533-position model. The record is from RNAcentral.